RNAcentral lists this signal recognition particle RNA (264 nucleotides) under Oscillospiraceae bacterium. RNAcentral's name for it is "signal recognition particle sRNA large type". It matches the Rfam family "Bacterial large signal recognition particle RNA". From Rfam's summary of the family: The signal recognition particle (SRP) is a universally conserved ribonucleoprotein involved in the co-translational targeting of proteins to membranes. Archaeal SRP consists of a 7S RNA and homologues of the eukaryotic SRP19 and SRP54 proteins. In most bacteria, the SRP consists of a 4.5S RNA and the Ffh protein (a homologue of the eukaryotic SRP54 protein). The record is from RNAcentral. Lineage: Bacteria; Bacillati; Bacillota; Clostridia; Eubacteriales; Oscillospiraceae.
UCGCGCUAAUCGGGGAGUCAGCGGUGCCCUGUAGCCUGCAACCCGCUACAGCAGGGAUGAAUCCCGGCUUGCGGACUUGCGGUGUAUUUGCGCGCGCGGUAAGCGGCGUUGAAGAACCGGUCUUACGCAAUGUCUGACCGUGAACCGCGUCAGGCGGGGAACCGAGCAGCGCUAAGCGGAAACGGGCGUGUGCCGUAAGGCAUCCGGUUCUGAGCAGUCUGCCGCGAAGGCGGGUAUACCGUACUUUCAAGGGUCGGUGCGCGG